AGAGUUUGAUCCUGGCUCAGGACGAACGCUGGCGGCACGCUUAACACAUGCAAGUCGAACGAGAGAAGAGGAGCUUGCUUUUCUGAUCUAGUGGCGGACGGGUGAGUAACACGUGAGCAAUCUGCCUUUCAGAGGGGGAUACCGAUUGGAAACGAUCGUUAAUACCGCAUAACAUAAUUGAACCGCAUGAUUUGAUUAUCAAAGAUUUAUCGCUGAAAGAUGAGCUCGCGUCUGAUUAGCUAGUUGGUAAGGUAACGGCUUACCAAGGCGACGAUCAGUAGCCGGACUGAGAGGUUGAUCGGCCACAUUGGGACUGAGACACGGCCCAGACUCCUACGGGAGGCAGCAGUGGGGAAUAUUGCACAAUGGAGGAAACUCUGAUGCAGCGAUGCCGCGUGAGGGAAGAAGGUUUUAGGAUUGUAAACCUCUGUCUUCAGGGACGAAAAAAGACGGUACCUGAGGAGGAAGCUCCGGCUAACUACGUGCCAGCAGCCGCGGUAAUACGUAGGGAGCGAGCGUUGUCCGGAAUUACUGGGUGUAAAGGGAGCGUAGGCGGGAUCGCAAGUCAGAUGUGAAAACUAUGGGCUUAACCCAUAAACUGCAUUUGAAACUGUGGUUCUUGAGUGAAGUAGAGGUAAGCGGAAUUCCUAGUGUAGCGGUGAAAUGCGUAGAUAUUAAGAGGAACAUCAGUGGCGAAGGCGGCUUACUGGGCUUUAACUGACGCUGAGGCUCGAAAGCGUGUGGAGCAAACAGGAUUAGAUACCCUGGUAGUCCACGCCGUAAACGAUGAUUACUAGGUGUGGGGGGACUGACCCCUUCCGUGCCGCAGCAAACGCAAUAAGUAAUCCACCUGGGGAGUACGACCGCAAGGUUGAAACUCAAAGGAAUUGACGGGGGCCCGCACAAGCAGUGGAGUAUGUGGAUUAAUUCGAAGCAACGCGAAGAACCUUACCAGGUCUUGACAUCGUAUGCAUAGCUCAGAGAUGAGUGAAAUCUCUUCGGAGACAUAUAGACAGGUGGUGCAUGGUUGUCGUCAGCUCGUGUCGUGAGAUGUUGGGUUAAGUCCCGCAACGAGCGCAACCCUUACUGUUAGUUGCUACGCAAGAGCACUCUAGCAGGACUGCCGUUGACAAAACGGAGGAAGGUGGGGACGACGUCAAAUCAUCAUGCCCCUUAUGACCUGGGCCUCACACGUACUACAAUGGCUGUCAACAGAGGGAAGCAAAGCCGCGAGGUGGAGCGAACCCCUAAAAGCAGUCUUAGUUCGGAUUGUAGGCUGCAACCCGCCUACAUGAAGUCGGAAUUGCUAGUAACCGCAGAUCAGCAUGCUGCGGUGAAUACGUUCCCGGGCCUUGUACACACCGCCCGUCACGCCAUGGGAGUCGGUAACACCCGAAGCCUGUAGUCUAACCGCAAGGAGGACGCAGUCGAAGGUGGGAUUGAUGACUGGGGUGAAGUCGUAACAAGGUA
RNAcentral lists this ribosomal RNA (1470 nucleotides) under metagenome. RNAcentral describes it as "bacterial SSU rRNA". It matches the Rfam family "Bacterial small subunit ribosomal RNA". The record is from RNAcentral.